This 290-nucleotide long non-coding RNA is filed under the name Gossypium barbadense (sea-island cotton). Its description in RNAcentral is "long non-coding RNA (GBAR_LNC023048)". Lineage: Eukaryota; Viridiplantae; Streptophyta; Magnoliopsida; Malvales; Malvaceae. The record is from RNAcentral.
UUAUGGGCAAUCAACCCAUCAUUCCACAAUCGAGCAAUAUAGCUUGCUACAGCAUCUUGGAACUUCUUGGCACGUGCUCGAGUAAUUGGCCCCAAAGGCAACUCCAUGGAUUCGGCACCUAUCUCCAUGGGCGAGCUCAUAUCAUCCUCCCUCUCUUCGAAGCGAUUCGUCCUCGAAUCGUCACCUACAUCAAAAGGAGAAAGGUCAGCAACGUUAAAACUUUCACUCACUGCAUACUCACCCGGUAGGUCAAUCUUGUAGACGUUGUCAUUGAUCCGUUCCAAUACUUG